GUUUUCUCCCCCUGCUCCCAUAACAUCUGCUCUCAGCAGCUUCUGUUUUCCAAGCCAUUAUCUUUUGUUCUCAUUCAUUUUCUAUUCCAUUAUUUCCCUCCAUGGCCUCUUUAAAAUACAAAUCUGAUCACAUUCCCCCUUAGCAUACAAUUACUCGGGACAGAAUCCAGACAGGCCGGCCUCGGGGGCCUGGGGGGCCUUUCCUGUCCGCCUUUCCGUCCUCCGCUCCUCCCCGCUGCCUCCAGGCAAUCUCGCCCCUCGCACAGGAUUGCUGGCGGCCGAGAAAACUGCCCGACUCUCUCUCACCAUCAUUCUCUUGCUGAAAAGGAGCACAGCUCUGCCUGUCCUUGAAGAUUCAGCUGAGACACUGGUCUGGGCAGCCUGCUAGGGUGGGCCAUCCUGGGUGGGCCUCCUCCCCGCAGCUCAGCCCGCCUGGCUGCGGGCACCUGGAGACCACUCCUCAGUAUCACUGUCAGGACCAGGAACGUCCCUCCCAGAGGGCCCCAACCUGUGCUUCCAGGGCCUGCACCAUCAGAGCAACAGCCAAGGGGAGGCCGGUUCCAAGAAGAGGAAUGUCGCGUGAACUUAGGCCGACAGACACCAAGGCAUGUUCUUUACCCCUAGUGCCACCUGGGAAGCCUAUUGCAUUGCCUGUAGGAUGAGUAUGUUGUUGUUCAUCAAUGCCUGGUGACAGAUACUCCAUCCGGGCAAGAACUACCACUCUUCUCUCUGUACCCUGACCAUCUCCCACAGGGCCUGACACAUAAUGUGUACUUAAAAAUAAAUUGUGAGGGUCUCCCCUGGCUCAGUGGUGAAGAAUCCACACGCCAGUGCAGAAGACACAGGUUCUAUCCCUGAUCUGAGAAGACCCCACGUGCCGCAGAGCAACAAAGCCCGUGGGCCACAACUCUUGAGCCUGUGCUCCAGAGCCUGGGAGCUGCAACCACUGAAGUCUGUGUGCCCUAGAGCCCGUGCUCCACAGCAAGAGACGUCGCCGCGGGGAGAAACCCCAGCACCACAGCUAGAGAGAAGCCCUCGCUCACCGUGACUAGCGAAAAGCCUGUGCUGCAGUGAAGACCCAGCAGAGCCAAAAGUAAAAAUAAAUAAAUUAAAAG
Molecule: long non-coding RNA, 1115 nt
Filed under: Cervus hanglu yarkandensis (Yarkand deer)
Lineage: Eukaryota; Metazoa; Chordata; Mammalia; Artiodactyla; Cervidae
Description: lncRNA (ENSCHYG00000008006.1)
Source: RNAcentral